CCCAAAUAUCACAAAUCAUAUAAGAUUCCAAACAAUUUAGAAUUGAUCAAUCACUGUGAAAUGCCAAGUUAUUUACCCAAGGCAUGUUUUGUUCCACAACACUAUAAUGCAGAUGCAUAAGAGAUUAGGUUAUCUAACAAGGCAUGUUUUGUUCCACAACACUCUAAUGCAAAUGCUACCUUGAUGCCUGGUGGAGAUGCUGAAAGUAAUGAAAACCAAUAGAAAAAGGUUAGCAUUUCCAAGAAAUGAGCUUUUCUCGAGAUAUAACCAUGAGAACAUUGUAUUAAGUUACUAUUGUAAAACACAGUUUGUGAAGCAGAGCCCUCUCAAAAGGAAAUUGAGGUUUUCAGUUUUAAAAAGAGAUAAA
This is a long non-coding RNA of Magnolia sinica, 367 nucleotides long. RefSeq lists it as uncharacterized. The record is from RefSeq and is a predicted model, not a curated record. The transcript has 2 exons. NCBI's taxonomy places the organism in Eukaryota, Viridiplantae, Streptophyta, Magnoliopsida, Magnoliales, Magnoliaceae.